Molecule: long non-coding RNA, 3334 nt
Filed under: Struthio camelus australis
Lineage: Eukaryota; Metazoa; Chordata; Aves; Struthioniformes; Struthionidae
Description: lncRNA (ENSSCUG00000016481.1)
Source: RNAcentral
AACCUUCAGAGUUCUCUUCCCCUGUCAGAUGGUCCAAGCAGCUGUAGUGACAACCAAUUCAGGAGUACAUAUCUAUCAGCUAGGUAGGUGGUUGUAUUAAAUGUGGAAGUUGCUAUGUGUUUGUAGAUCUUUAUUUUUUACAACUAACGUUGUACGUUUUGUUCUAAUGUAUUUGAAGUAAUGAGAAAAAAUUUUCUGUCCAGUUCAGAAGUUACCUAUUUGUGACUUGGAAUUACGAGCAAGAUAUUGGUAGACAAAUCUUCUGAUUGAAUAAUUUAUUUCUUCAUGGAAGCUCGUGAGCACAAAGCAGGAUACUCUAUCAGAAAAAAUACAUUUUACCCUAAGAUAGAGGCAGAAGUAAAGCACGUUUCAUACUUAAGUUCUUGUUUUGUGCUUUUAUAUAUUACUAAGGGUUGAAUGAGUGAAUAUUACGGCAUAACAUGUAAUAAAACCUUCACAGUAAAAUAUCCUCUUUUCAGAUCUCUGGAACUGCCAGUGAAGCUUCCUUUAACUGCACCAUCUAAUGCAAAACAGCAGGAUAGCCCAUCUGUAUGUGAAGUACUAAAUUCUUGUAAAAGUACCACUAUUUUGUCAAAGGAAGUACACUCAGAUAAACUCAGGUUUGCAUUAUCAUUGCCUUCUGAUAAAAAUAAUCAAAAGUCAAAUGAAAUAGACCAGGUGGAAGCAACUGUUGACACAAAUACAUUUUUAAAAGAAAAUCAGUUACGUACAGAACUAAAGUGCAACAGUGUCUUCCUGACUCAUGUCAAUAAUGCACAAUAUCAGAGACAGUCCGAGGAGCUUACAAAACAGUAUACUGGUAGUUCAUUGCCAUUCUGUGGAAACGUAACUGAAAGAAAGAAACAUACAGCACAUGAUAAGUCAAAAACUCAACAUAAUAUAAAGGAUUUUGAUAAAAAAUGCAGCUCAAAUAGUCUGCUUCAUUGUGGUAUUAAUAGCAGCAGCAACACCAAUGACAUGAGCUGUCACGCAAGAUCCAGUGACUUGUCUCACAGUAUUCCUUCACCUCUUCAGCUUAGCAGUGAAUGUAACAUAGAUUUUAAGAUUUCUGUGGACAAGAUUAAACCUGAAGAAACUGUUUAUGAUGCCGAUAUGGAGUUGACUGCUAGUGAUGUAGGUGAACUACUCACAGUUACAUCAAAAGAUAAACUGCACCAAAAUAAAAAUAGUAAUGCCAAUUCUGGUGAAACAUCAGCAAAUUUCAGAAGAGUAAAAUAUUCUAAGGAGAAAACUAAAAGCAAGCCUAAAGUAAGUUCAGAUUUUUAUGCAGAAGAAACUUGCUCUAAGGCUAACAGUAGUACAGAUUCAAAAACUAACGACUUGGCAACUCAAAUGUUCCAAAACCAGACAGAACAGCUACCUACAGGGAAUUCUUUAGAGAAACAGAGUUUAAAGAAUACCAGCAAAUAUUAUCAAGCACAGGAUUGUCCAAGUAAAGCUAAAGAUACUAGGAGGACAUACCUGGUUAACCUAGUGAGUCCAAGGAAACAAGAACAGGAGACAAAUCAAGACACUUGUCCAGAAAGGUCUGAAGAUAUGGAAAACAAAAUACAAGAAGCAGACUCUAACUCACCUAAUAAUAAGAUCCCACCUGAAAUUUAUUGUGCUGAAAGUUUUCCAUUCAAGGAUAACACCUCUAAUGCAUUGUCUUUACAGCAGGACUUUCUACAUACAAAUGAGAAACAUAUCAACCCAGAAAUGAACAGGAAAGCCUUUCAGAACCCUUCUAAAAAGAAGGCAACAAAACAUUUUAGAGAGGAAAAUGGACAGUAUAGAGAAUAUGGUUCAAAAAAGUCUCAAACAGAGAUAAGCCAACAUGAGUGGAAGAGAAAAGAGCAGAAGAAUAUUAUAAAGAAUAAAUACAACCGAAAAAGUAGUCACAGACAAAGUGGAGAAACUGAAAGUGACAGUGUUCAUAAAAUUAUUCAGAAAAUAGACCGAAGGAGUAAUAAAGUUUCACCAGGCAGAUUAAAACGUACAUUGGCAAAAGCUAGCCGGAAAGCGUGUAUAAUACCAACAGAAAACCUUAGGCAAUUCACACUGCUUAGAAAUGAAGGGUUAAAAAAUAAAAAUGUAUUGCACACAGAUGUUAUCCAUGGAAAUAAAAUAGCUAAAAUGCAGCAAAUACAAGGAGCUUUAGAUUUUCAGAAUGGUGAAGCUAUGAAUGCACUGCAAGCUAGUUCCUCCACAAAGCAAGUGGUUGAUAACAAUACUGACACGUUAAAGAAAGAGGUAGAUUCCUCAUCAGGGGCACAUAGAAAGCCUAACCUUAUUAAUUCUCCUGAUGAUCAGGUAAAGAAUAAAGGGAGCUUUAUUUCUGAUUUUACUGAGAUCAGACCAGAAAAAAAGGUUUUCGGGCAUAUUGACCAGGGGAAGCAGAAUAUUUUGGACAACCAGAAAGUCCCGCCUGAGACAGGUUCCUUUAAGAGCAAGUUAAAGCCUACAGUUCAAAAAUCAGAAUUUUUGAAAUUCUUACCUGUAAACUGUUCUGAGAAUAUGCCAUUAAGUUCAGGUAGAUUUUUCCAGGAAGGUCUUCCCCAUGUGGAGCUCCCAGUUGUUGAUUACCUUAACGUUUCAGUUAACGUCUCUAGCCUGAAAAACUCUGAAUUCUGUGGAAAAAAUGAUCAUGCUAAAACACUGGAUGCUGAAAUAGCAGAGCAAAAACUGGAUCAUACUUACAAAGAAACUUAUAAACAGUCUCUGACACCUUGUCAUGGGAGAAAGGCUUUGCAGGAUCUGACAAAUACCACCAUACGUUCUCACGCUUCCUUACCUAAAUCUCCCAAAACUUUAGAAGAAAAUUUAGCAGCACGAGCUAGACGAAGAAGAACCAGUAUUUGCUACAAAGAACCCAAUCUAAACAGCAAGUUAAGGCGUGGAGAUCAGUUUACAGAUACAGAUUUUCUGGAUUCUCCGGUCUAUAAAGUAAAAAAUAAAAGAAGUUUUAAGAGUAAAUCAAAAUUUAUUUGAAGAAGACAAGAGAAUUGCCUUUAUGAACAGUACUUUUAAAGUACCUUUAAAAUGUACUGCUUUUUUUUUUUUUUUUCCAAAAUGGUAGACUGCUUAUUGUUCUUUGAUAGAUAAAGGUAAAACACAGCCUUCCAGAGUGGAAUUUUCUGGGAAGAAGCCUAUAUGUAAGUGACACAGAAUACCUCACUGAGGAGUACAAUACAGGUUAGACUCUACUGUGGUGUUAGGCAUUUUCAGCCAGUAGAUUAUAGUCUGUUUGAAAGGUUUUUGCAGCAUUUUUUAAUUUGUAAGAAAAAGUGUAAGUUUUAAGGAGACUAAAAAUAAAUCACCUUUGCGAAUUACA